UGGGGAAUAUUGGACAAUGGGGGCAACCCUGAUCCAGCAAUGCCGCGUGUGUGAAGAAGGCCUGCGGGUUGUAAAGCACUUUCGGUGGGGAGAAGAGGCCUUUGGUUAAUACCCAAAGGAAGAGAUGUUACCCACAGAAGAAGCACCGGCUAACUCUGUGCCAGCAGCCGCGGUAAUACAGAGGGUGCAAGCGUUAAUCGGAAUUACUGGGCGUAAAGGGUGCGUAGGUGGUUUUAUAAGUUAGGUGUGAAAGCCCCGGGCUUAACCUGGGAAUGGCGCCUAAUACUGUUGAACUAGAGUACUGUAGAGGAAAGUGGAAUUUCCGGUGUAGCGGUGAAAUGCGUAGAUAUCGGAAGGAACACCAGUGGCGAAGGCGACUUUCUGGACAGAUACUGACACUGAGGCACGAAAGCGUGGGGAGCAAACAGG
This 429-nucleotide ribosomal RNA is filed under the name uncultured bacterium. RNAcentral describes it as "bacterial SSU rRNA". It matches the Rfam family "Bacterial small subunit ribosomal RNA", at positions 355 to 776 of the family's 1533-position model. The record is from RNAcentral.